AUUGGAUUGGCAAGGAGUAUUACGAAAAGGGGCCUAAUGGAAACGACAUUCACAAAACUAAUGUUCCUCACAUUCGGAUAGAAUUCCGAGACACGAUUUGGAGAGGAGAGAUGCAACAGGUUCACUUAGGAAAGGCCAUCGCCUCCGAAAUAGCCGUAUAAUAUGCCUAGAGACACGUGCUCCGUCCUUGCUUCGAGCAACCCCAACUUUUGAACAGCUUUACAGGUCUAAAUUGAGCUCCCGGUCGUCAGCAUCAAAAGAGAUGACGAAAUUCAGAUAACCCCAUCCAAGUUAACAGUUGUGUCUGAUACAAACAUACACACACCAAGGCUGAAGAAUUUAUGGCACUUCUCGGAGGACAUGGCCACCCGCGAGAACACCGUACUAAAUCAAUCGUCCAACUCCCACAGCUACAAGGCAAUUUAGCGUAGCGAGAUAUUUUGGGCUUGGUGAUCAAAAUAAAUUGAUCUCAUAAUAAUUACACGCGUUGAAUAGAUAGCUCUGAAAAAUUUUGAUCCCAUAUUUAUUACAAUCGAUGUACAGUAAUUUCUCUUUAGUUAUGAGCACAGUA
This is a long non-coding RNA of Neltuma alba, 571 nucleotides long. RefSeq lists it as uncharacterized. The transcript is spliced from 3 exons. NCBI's taxonomy places the organism in Eukaryota, Viridiplantae, Streptophyta, Magnoliopsida, Fabales, Fabaceae. The record is from RefSeq and is a predicted model, not a curated record.